RNAcentral lists this ribosomal RNA (475 nucleotides) under uncultured Archaeospora. RNAcentral's name for it is "bacterial SSU rRNA". It matches the Rfam family "Eukaryotic small subunit ribosomal RNA", at positions 569 to 1048 of the family's 1831-position model. The record is from RNAcentral. Lineage: Eukaryota; Fungi; Glomeromycota; Glomeromycetes; Archaeosporales; Archaeosporaceae.
AGCAGCCAUGGUAAUUCCAGCUCCAAUAGCGUAUAUUAAAGUUGUUGCAGUUAAAAAGCUCGUAAUUGAAUUUUGGGUUUGGCCAAUUGGUCUGUUCUUGUAGCGAGUACUGGUCGGUUAUGCCUCACCACUUGGGAAAGCAUAAUGUCCUUUAUUGGGUGUUGCGAAAUAUCCAAGACCUUUACCUUGAAAACAUUAAAGUGUUUAAAGCAGGCAUAUGCCGGAAUACAUUAGCAUGAAAUAAUAGAAUAGGAUAAUAAUUCUAUUUUGUUGGUUUCUAGGACCGUUGUAAUGAUUAAUAGGGAUAGUUGGGGGUAUUAGUAUUCAAUUGCCAGAGGUGAAAUUCUUGGAUUUAUUGAAGACUAACUACUGUGAAAGCAUUUGCCAAGGAUGUUUUCAUUAAUCAAGAAUGAAAGUUAGGGAAUCGAAGAUGAUCAGAUACCAUUGUAGUCUUAACCAUAAAUUAUGCCGACUA